UCGUUGCAGGGACCAAAAUAAAACCAUUUAAUGAGUUAAUUAAUUGUAGUUAAUUACGCCUUAACUUUUCUACUCAACGCCAGAUGUCGCUCUAAAGCAAAAUUCUACUUGACGUAAAACAUUUAUACAUCGCGGUAAUCUCGUCAGUCUUACUCCAUCAUUUUAAAAAGUAUAGACUAGUUUAUGGAUUUCUAAAGUUAUGUCAAGAUGACUGAAUGUAAUAUUGUCAACAAUAAUUGUCAAAACACGCAAUUUAAAAUAUUCAACAUUGUAAUUACAAAAUAGUAUAUUUCUAAUACGCUAUAAUUUUCUCCAAUCGAAAGGCACUCCAUUCCAUUGAUCUCAGAGAGUAUGCUCCUUGAUGAUCUUCACUAUUCAUGGGCAUUUUUAAGUUAUUCAUCGGACACUGAGGCCAUUGAAGUUUUAAGCUGGCGGCAUCAAAAUGGAGUACCUAGAAACCAUACGGCAAUAAUGAGGAUGCAUCGACAUAAGAAGAAUCGAACAUGGGCAAGAUAAAGUUCAAGAAAAAAGCAAAUAUAAUGUGUACUUGUGUGUAGUCAAAGAAAGUUGAAAAAUAAAGCAUAAUUAAUGGCCAUAGAAUACAGAACCGAUACACGAACAUUAAGACUAUUAAAUAUAGACAUAUAGGUUGAUCGUACUACUCGUACUAAUGUAUUUCUUUUGUUCAAUUAUAUUAUUGCAUUAAAGUUAGAUUCUCUAGAUAUAUAUUAUUCAUAGGUUCUGUAUUCUAUAUGAAUUGUUUUAGUGUAAUUAUUGUACUAAAUACCGUUGACCGCCUGUCAACAGUAUUUAUCUCUACAUUACUAUCACAGAAGAUUUUAGGCCCUACAGUAGUUUUUGAAUUAGUAUUUACUAUGGACAAAAUAGCGAAAUCUGAGUUUUUACCUAAAAUAUCAAUCUUUUGUGAACGUGGUGUAGAGUAUAUACCGCCUUAGACUGAAGUAGCUACGCGGGCAACGUUUUCAAAAUAGAAUCGUGUUCAUGGUCGGCCCAUGGUAAAAAUAAUUAGGUACCCGUAGACCCACUGGUGAACACUGUUUAUGAUAACACUUAAAAUAAACCCCGUGGACCCACCAGGAGAACAUAUUGGAGACACUAGAGAUAAUACACCGCUUUAAGGGCGGUCGUACACGGCAUUGACAUCUGGCGUCUAGAUGGCGGGUGGACCUCAGCGAAUUUCAAAGAAAUAUUUAUAAACAUCCAAUGACGUUCGGCUCGGAAACCAGAUCUUCAAUCUCCUGAUUCCUGUGGAGUCUCCAGGUUCCAUCCUCUCCACGUGAGGGUCCUAGGAUUUUUCGCGCUGCCAGACUCCGAUGACUCGGGCACGUAGUCCAGAUGGGUGAGGAUCGUGCAGCCUGAAGGGCGUACUCUGAAGUUUCAAAUGGCCGAAGACCGUCUAGACGUCCUAGGUAGGUCCCGCUGGAGAGAUGAAAUGCAAAAAGACCUUAGCGAACUCGGCGCCGUCGACUAGAUGGAAACUGUUUUGGACAGAGAAGCAUGGCGGUCUUUGGUGUCGGAGGCCAAGAUCCACUUCGGGUCGCUGCGCCACAGCAGUAAGUAAGUAUUUAUAAACAUAUUGUACCUUCUGUGUACCUAACCAAAAACGAGAUAUUUAAGAAAAAGUCCACCCGCUAUUCUGACGUCAGGAUUGCGGUUGGACCUAUGAAAUCUUGCAUUAUACCGCACUAAAAGUAUGCAGUUAUAUGGUACAGUCGCCAUCAGAUAUAUCGGAGUGGCCGAGGUGCUCAAAGAUAUCUAAACACGCAUUGUACCUUCAGUGUACCUCUGUAAAUAGAAAUAGAAACCGGUGUACCUCUCCCCAAAACAAGCUAGGCUAAGCUCAUGCAAGAUUUCAUAGGUCCACCCGCCAUCCUGACGUCAGGUUGGCGGGUGGACCGUUUUGUAAAAUAUCUCGUCUCGGUCUAUUAAAGGUACACUGAGGUACACAGAAGGUACAAUAUGUUUAUUAAUAUUUCUUUGAAAUUCGCUGAGGUCCACCGCCAUCCUAACGCUUACCAUAUAUCUAAGGACCGACCUUAGGGGCAAUAACGAUAGUGCUAGUUCAGAUGUGUCAUUCACAAAUUCGAGCCAAUCGUGCUGUCUAACGCAACUAGAACUCAUCAACCAAUCACGUUGUGGUACUUGUGGCGUUAGACUGCACGAUUGGCUCAAACUCGUGUGCGUAACACCGCUGUACUGGCCUCAUUCUUAUUGCCCGUAAGGCCCGUCCUCAGAUAUAUUAUGUCAAUGACACAGUCGCGAUUUAAAAAACACAUUUUCUGCUACCAAAUUGUUGAGCAUAACGUUUUCCUAUCCAUAGGUUCCAUCUGUCCAGUAGGAUCCACCAUCUCGAUCCACCAGAUUGAAGAGAUUGUUACUUAACUGAUGGAUCGAGAUAAUUAAACCUACUGAAUAGAGCGGGUCGAUUGGAUAUAACAAAGUACGCUUAUAUGAAACGCUGCUCCGGUGUGCGAGUGAGACAGUCAGGCCAAUUUGAACUUGCAUUUGACAGAAAACUGAUUGUCUCCAUCAAACGCUACCAGUUCCAUUGCCGGCCUCUUUGCUGCCUUCUAUAGUGGUUCAAUCUUACCUUGUUUAUGAAUAAAAAGGGGCGU
Molecule: long non-coding RNA, 2636 nt
Organism: Cydia pomonella (codling moth)
Lineage: Eukaryota; Metazoa; Arthropoda; Insecta; Lepidoptera; Tortricidae
Exons: 3
Source: RefSeq, a predicted model, not a curated record